CUGGGAUUUUGUUUUCUUCAGAGGGAGGUUCUGAUGAAGGGGGAGACUGUGACGUUUGCUGACCAUCAGUUUGUACCUGGGACUGUGUUCCAGCCUCACUGUUCUCUUGCUGGUUAUUUUUAUCACUUGAAUUUUCAGCAGGCAUCUGGUCCUGAGUUUCCAAUUCAGUCUCAACACCGACAUCCUCACUAUCUUCACUUUUAACUGGUUCUACCAUGGAUGCAGUGGACACGCUGAAAAUGCCAUGAGUAUUGACACGGACUUUCACUUUAACUUUAGACUUCUCUCCAUCUUUCUGAGCUGCCACAUUCUGGAUAAUAUACCUACCAAUUUUUGACUCUGGAUACGGG
RNAcentral lists this long non-coding RNA (350 nucleotides) under Gallus gallus (chicken). The record is from RNAcentral. Lineage: Eukaryota; Metazoa; Chordata; Aves; Galliformes; Phasianidae.